RNAcentral lists this ribosomal RNA (743 nucleotides) under Leifsonia aquatica. RNAcentral describes it as "bacterial SSU rRNA". It matches the Rfam family "Bacterial small subunit ribosomal RNA", at positions 33 to 787 of the family's 1533-position model. The record is from RNAcentral. Lineage: Bacteria; Bacillati; Actinomycetota; Actinomycetes; Micrococcales; Microbacteriaceae.
NNGCUGCGGCGUGCUUAACACAUGCAAGUCGGACGAUGAACCAGGAGCUUGCUCUUGGGGAUUAGUGGCGAACGGGUGAGUAACACGUGAGUAACCUGCCCUUGACUCUGGGAUAACCUCCGGAAACGGAAGCUAAUACCGGAUACGAACUGCGAAGGCAUCUUCAGCAGUUGGAAAGAACUUCGGUCAAGGAUGGACUCGCGGCCUAUCAGGUAGUUGGUGAGGUAACGGCCCACCAAGCCUACGACGGGUAGCCGGCCUGAGAGGGUGACCGGCCACACUGGGACUGAGACACGGUCCAGACUCCUACGGGAGGCAGCAGUGGGGAAUAUUGCACAAUGGGCGCAAGCCUGAUGCAGCAACGCCGCGUGGGGGAUGACGGCCUUCGGGUUGUAAACCUNUUUUAGUAGGGAAGAAGCGAAAGUGACGGUACCUGCAGAAAAAGCACCGGCUAACUACGUGCCAGCAGCCGCGGUAAUACGUAGGGUGCGAGCGUUGUCCGGAAUUAUUGGGCGUAAAGAGCUCGUAGGCGGUCUGUCGCGUCUGCUGUGNAAACCCGAGGCUCAACCUCGGGCCUGCAGUGGGUACGGGCAGACUAGAGUGCGGUAGGGGAGAAUGGAAUUCCUGGUGUAGCGGUGGAAUGCGCAGAUAUCAGGAGGAACACCGAUGGCGAAGGCAGUUCUCUGGGCCGUAACUGACGCUGAGGAGCGAAAGCGUGGGGAGCGAACAGGAUUUAGAUACCC